Chrysemys picta bellii (western painted turtle) is the source of this 490-nucleotide non-coding RNA. Lineage: Eukaryota; Metazoa; Chordata; Testudines; Emydidae. The record is from RefSeq and is a predicted model, not a curated record.
GCUUUAAGUUGUUCUCUAAAACCACUGCACUUCAAACAUUAGUUAUACUGGAUACCCAUGACUUUCCAGGUACUGGAAGCAAUGAAUGGUUAGGGAAUUGCUCUAAUAGUUAUUGCGCUGCAUCCCAAACAAAAAAGGAAAUUGGUGCCUAAUAGUCUUGCUUCACAUGUGAAUUCUGAAUGCAAUGGUAUUGUGUAAUCUGGAAGUAGGGAAAAUGUCCAGUGUCAUUGCUGUACUUAAUUCCAAACUGAAAAUACUUGAGUAGAAGGUCUUAAGUGUUGGAUUAAAUAACAUACACAGAUAUGAUAAAAACUGAAGUCUACCAGUUAGUUAAUUCACCCAGAAGACUUAAAUCCCACCUUAAAUAGUUUUUUUUUUUGCAUUUUAAAAAGGUACAGCAUCAUUAACAUAGUUAAAGCAUAUUAACAUUAACAGUUUUCAAAAUUUAAACAAUCAAGUUCUAAAAUAUACAAGAGAGUCAAGGGCACAA